CACGGGUGAGUAGCACGUAUGCAAUCCACCUGUAACAGGGGGAUAACCCGGAGAAAUCCGGACUAAUACCCCAUAAUAUGGGCGCUCCGCAUGGAGAGCCCAUUAGAGAGAGCAAUUUUGGUUACAGACGAGCAUGCGCUCCAUUAGCCAGUUGGCGGGGUAACGGCCCACCAAACCUUCGAUGGAUAGGGGUUCUGAGAGGAAGGUCCCCCACAUUGGAACUGAGACACGGUCCAA
RNAcentral lists this ribosomal RNA (237 nucleotides) under uncultured bacterium. RNAcentral describes it as "partial 16S ribosomal RNA". It matches the Rfam family "Bacterial small subunit ribosomal RNA", at positions 102 to 334 of the family's 1533-position model. The record is from RNAcentral.